GACGAACGCUGGCGGCGUGCUUAACACAUGCAAGUCGAACGGAAAGGCCUCUUUCGGGGGGUACUCGAGUGGCGAACGGGUGAGUAACACGUGAGUAACCUGCCCUUGACUUUGGGAUAACUUCAGGAAACUGGGGCUAAUACCGGAUAGGAGCUCCUGCUGCAUGGUGGGGGUUGGAAAGUUUCGGCGGUUGGGGAUGGACUCGCGGCUUAUCAGCUUGUUGGUGGGGUAGUGGCUUACCAAGGCUUUGACGGGUAGCCGGCCUGAGAGGGUGACCGGCAAAAUGGGACUGAGAUACGGCCCAGACUCCUACGGGAGGCAGCAGUGGGGAAUAUUGCACAAUGGGUGGAAGCCUGAUGCAGCAACGCCGUGUGCGGGAUGACGGCCUUCGGGUUGUAAACCGCUUUCGCUCAUGACGAAGCUUUGUGUGACGGUAGUGGGUAAAGAAGCACCGGCUAACUACGUG
This 466-nucleotide ribosomal RNA is filed under the name uncultured bacterium. Its description in RNAcentral is "partial 16S ribosomal RNA". It matches the Rfam family "Bacterial small subunit ribosomal RNA", at positions 28 to 507 of the family's 1533-position model. The record is from RNAcentral.